RNAcentral lists this ribosomal RNA (1191 nucleotides) under Salmonella enterica subsp. enterica serovar Typhimurium. RNAcentral's name for it is "partial 23S ribosomal RNA". It matches the Rfam family "Bacterial large subunit ribosomal RNA", at positions 1 to 1192 of the family's 2925-position model. Lineage: Bacteria; Pseudomonadati; Pseudomonadota; Gammaproteobacteria; Enterobacterales; Enterobacteriaceae. The record is from RNAcentral.
AUAUAGGUCAAGCUACAAAGGGCGCAUGGUGAAUGCCUUGGCAUCAGGAGCCGAUGAAGGACGUGAUAAGCUGCGAUAAGCUUCGGGUAGGCGCACAUAGCCUGAGAUCCGAAGAUCUCCGAAUGAGGAAACUCACAUGGGAAACCCCAUGUAUCAUUAAGUGAAUACAUAGCUUAAUGAAGGUAACCCAGGGAACUGAAACAUCUAAGUACCUGGAGGAAGAGAAAGAAAAAUCGAUUUUCUUAGUAGCGGCGAGCGAAAGGGAAAGAGCCCAAACCGGAAACUUGUUUCCGGGGUUGUGGACAUAACAUAAAAGUGGAGGCUAUUGUAACUGAAGAGAACUGGAAAGUUCCACCGUAGAAGGUAAUAGUCCUGUAAGUGAAACGAGAAGACCACGAGUUAUGAUCCAGAGUACCACGAGACACGUGAAACCUUGUGGGAAGCAGGGAGGACCACCUCCCAAGGCUAAAUACUACCUGAUGACCGAUAGUGAAGCAGUACCGUGAGGGAAAGGUGAAAAGAACCCCGGGAGGGGAGUGAAAUAGAACCUGAAACCGUGUGCCUACAACCGCUCAGAGCCCCUUAUGAGGGUGAUGAGGUGCUUUUUGUAGAACGAGCCAACGAGUUACGGUAUGUAGCAAGGUUAAGUACUUAAGGUACGGAGCCGAAGGGAAACCGAGUCUGAAUAGGGCGACUAGUUGCAUGCCGUAGACCCGAAACCGGGUGACCUAUCCAUGGCCAGGUUGAAGCGAGGGUAAAACCUCGUGGAGGACCGAACCACGUUGCUGUUGAAAAAGCAUGGGAUGAGCUGUGGAUAGCGGAGAAAUUCCAAUCGAACCCGGAGAUAGCUGGUUCUCUCCGAAAUAGCUUUAGGGCUAGCGUCGAGUAUGAGUAGUGGAGGUAGAGCACUGAAUGGGCUAGGGGGCAUAGCGCUUACCGAACCUUAUCAAACUCCGAAUGCCACAUACUUUGAGCUCGGCAGUCAGACUACGAAUGAUAAGAUCCGUGGUCAAAAGGGAAACAGCCCAGAUCGUCAGCUAAGGUCCCAAAGUGUAAGUUAAGUGGGAAAGGAUGUGAGAUUUCUAAGACAACUAGGAUGUUGGCUUAGAAGCAGCCAUUCAUUAAAAGAGUGCGUAAUAGCUCACUAGUCGAGAGAUCUUGCGCCGAAAAUGUAACGGGGCUAAACUUACC